Long non-coding RNA from Arabidopsis lyrata subsp. lyrata, 376 nucleotides. RefSeq lists it as uncharacterized. The record is from RefSeq and is a predicted model, not a curated record. The transcript has 2 exons. NCBI's taxonomy places the organism in Eukaryota, Viridiplantae, Streptophyta, Magnoliopsida, Brassicales, Brassicaceae.
UUCACCUAAUUUUGCAUCCUUACAGCUUGAUCAUUUAUCAAAGUUAUGAGGUCUGCGACUUUGUUUCUGUUUUCAUGUGUUAUUAUGUACCUUAUUUUGAAUUCGGUUCCAGAGAUGGAAGCUCAUAAUACCAAAAUGUGCAAAAUCGUUGGAUCUUGGGAGGGUCGAAACUGCACAGGUGACGAUGAAGCUAAAAAUGCUACGUGCGUAGCAGCUUUUGCGGAGACACAAAUAGUUGUUACUAAUUGCACUUGUAAUGAAACUAGUUACGCUGGUCUUAUGUGUAGGUGUCUUAAUCUUUGUUAGGUUUUAAGAUAAUUGUAUAACAAAAAUAUAUUUACUAUUCUCUUUUAUACAAAAAGGGAGUGAAUGUAUA